This is a long non-coding RNA of Heterocephalus glaber (naked mole-rat), 330 nucleotides long. The record is from Ensembl. Lineage: Eukaryota; Metazoa; Chordata; Mammalia; Rodentia; Bathyergidae.
AUUUCUUUAAGUGAUGAGCAUUCAUAGGACUUUUAAAUAUAGACUUUAUUCUCAAAAUACUUUUGUUGUACAAAAGAAGGUACUUCUACAAAGAAACAUAAAUCCUCUUCAUCUUUGAGUGACAAGUCUUUGUCAUAUUGAUGACCUAAUUUCAUCCUCUUUUGAAAGCGUGGGGCAACAGAGGUGCUGACCAACUGGCUGACCUGAUCAUUGAUGGGGACAAUGCCUGGGGAGAGAAGGAUCCAUCCCUUCCAAAUUGCAAGUCUGCAUACUCAUACAGAGAGUAUGAGAAGGCUGUGGAAGAACCAAGAGCCACUGCAGAAUGUGUAU